UGGGGAAUAUUGGACAAUGGGCGGAAGCCUGAUCCAGCAACGCCGCGUGAGGGAUGACGGCCUUCGGGUUGUAAACCUCUUUCAGUACCGACGAAGCGAAAGUGACGGUAGGUACAGAAGAAGCACCGGCCAACUACGUGCCAGCAGCCGCGGUAAUACGUAGGGUGCGAGCGUUGUCCGGAAUUAUUGGGCGUAAAGGGCUCGUAGGCGGUUUGUCGCGUCGGGAGUGAAAACACUGGGCUUAACUCAGUGCUUGCUUCCGAUACGGGCAGCCUAGAGGUAUGCAGGGGAGAACGGAAUUCCUGGUGUAGCGGUGAAAUGCGCAGAUAUCAUGAGGAACACCGGUGGCGAAGGCUGUUCUCUGGGCAUUACCUGACGCUGAGGAGCGAAAGUGUGGGGGGCGAACAGG
This 409-nucleotide ribosomal RNA is filed under the name Bacillota bacterium. RNAcentral's name for it is "Firmicutes bacterium partial 16S ribosomal RNA". It matches the Rfam family "Bacterial small subunit ribosomal RNA", at positions 355 to 776 of the family's 1533-position model. The record is from RNAcentral. Lineage: Bacteria; Bacillati; Bacillota.